ACUCUUGGUUCCCCUGCUUCAGGGCUCUUCUGCUGCGAGGUGACAGGGGACGGAGAAAUGGGCCUGCGAAGUCUUGUCGUCCUGUUACCCACCCCAGCACAUUGCGGGCUCCCCCGCUAGCCGGAGGAGUUCGUAGGACGUGGCAGUUUCAGCUGAAGCUGAGCACUAAGGAGGUUUCCUCGGGGAUGCGAGUGUAGUCUGCCGCUCCAGCUGCUCUUGGGCCUGUCACCUCCACUCAGUGAUGAAGGUGUAGAGAAAAGGUGAAAAUGCCAUGGCGACAGCAUGCUAGCCAAACACAGGGAGGAGUCAGAGUUGAAAUUCACUUCUAGAGAAGUAUUCGUUUCCUGCCUCGGAUUUGUGCGAACAUUGAUGAAAAGCCAAUCACAUCGUGAGGAUGGUGAUUAACAUAACGCUGCCUAAUGAAUUAAUUCCGCCAGUGCAUCCGAAGCUGCCAAGUGGGGUUGAAUCCCGGGUAAUGUUUGCAGCCACAAAAUGGAAGCAGCCUGGGACCCUGAAAAGAAUCUCCCAGCACACACAAGACCAUAAUUCACAAGCACAACAGUGGAGUUGCUACGGAGACGUGAUGAGCACAGCAGAAGGAAUUCUGGGACUGCUUCACAGGAACGUGAAGUGUGUGAAGCCAGCCCUCACAGCGGCUUUAAAUAAAGGCUGCUGGAAGUGA
This 682-nucleotide long non-coding RNA is filed under the name Fukomys damarensis (Damara mole-rat). RNAcentral describes it as "lncRNA (ENSFDAG00000026687.1)". Lineage: Eukaryota; Metazoa; Chordata; Mammalia; Rodentia; Bathyergidae. The record is from RNAcentral.